CAGCCGCCGCGGUAAUACGUAGGUGGCAAGCGUUGUCCGGAAUUAUUGGGCGUAAAGGGCUCGCAGGCGGUUUCUUAAGUCUGAUGUGAAAGCCCCCGGCUCAACCGGGGAGGGUCAUUGGAAACUGGGAAACUUGAGUGCAGAAGAGGAGAGUGGAAUUCCACGUGUAGCGGUGAAAUGCGUAGAGAUGUGGAGGAACACCAGUGGCGAAGGCGACUCUCUGGUCUGUAACUGACGCUGAGGAGCGAAAGCGUGGGGAGCGAACAGGAUUAGAUACCCGUGUAGUCCCUGUCUCUUAUAC
This 301-nucleotide ribosomal RNA is filed under the name uncultured bacterium. Its description in RNAcentral is "partial 16S ribosomal RNA". It matches the Rfam family "Bacterial small subunit ribosomal RNA", at positions 509 to 807 of the family's 1533-position model. The record is from RNAcentral.